GAUGAACGCUGGCGGCGUGCUUAACACAUGCAAGUCGAGCGAUUUACUUCGGUAAAGAGCGGCGGACGGGUGAGUAACGCGUGGGUAACCUGCCCUGUACACACGGAUAACAUACCGAAAGGUAUGCUAAUACGAGAUAAUAUACUUUUAUCGCAUGGUAGAAGUAUCAAAGCUCCGGCGGUACAGGAUGGACCCGCGUCUGAUUAGCUAGUUGGUAAGGUAACGGCUUACCAAGGCGACGAUCAGUAGCCGACCUGAGAGGGUGAUCGGCCACAUUGGAACUGAGACACGGUCCAAACUCCUACGGGAGGCAGCAGUGGGGAAUAUUGCACAAUGGGCGAAAGCCUGAUGCAGCAACGCCGCGUGAGCGAUGAAGGCCUUCGGGUCGUAAAGCUCUGUCCUCAAGGAAGAUAAUGACGGUACUUGAGG
This 429-nucleotide ribosomal RNA is filed under the name uncultured bacterium. Its description in RNAcentral is "bacterial SSU rRNA". It matches the Rfam family "Bacterial small subunit ribosomal RNA", at positions 28 to 484 of the family's 1533-position model. The record is from RNAcentral.